RNAcentral lists this long non-coding RNA (576 nucleotides) under Prunus dulcis (almond). RNAcentral describes it as "sRNA ncRNA". The record is from RNAcentral. Lineage: Eukaryota; Viridiplantae; Streptophyta; Magnoliopsida; Rosales; Rosaceae.
GUCAAGGAUCAAGGAUCUUCAAGUCCAAUCUCUUGUUUACAAGUAUAGUACCGGAGAGACUGCCAGCUCUCAUAUCAAUAUCAUCAUCAAGGAUCUUCAAGUCCUGAUGUAAUUGUAUGAUGAGGAUCAAGGAACUUCUGGUCCUGAUCUGUAUACUGUAAAAACUCAUCAUACAGCACAAUUAAUCCAUAAAAUAAAUUUACUGUUAAAUAAAUUACUUGUAUGGACGUUAAAUAAAUUACUUGUAUGGACGUUAAUCCCGCACCAUACUUUAAAUGUGCGGUAAAGUAAAUUCAUAAAUUAAAUUGCUGUAUGGACGUUAAUCCCGCACCAUACUUUAAAUGUGCGGUAAAGUAAAUUCAUAAAUUAAAUUGUUGUAUGGACGUUAAUCCCGCACCAUACUUUAAAUGUGCGGUAAAUAAAAUUUGCUUGUAUGGGCACUAAUUCUGCUCCAUACAUUUAAAUGACAGUAAAGGCGUGGACGAUAAACCCGCACCACCCUUUAAAGUAAAUUUACGAUAAAGUAAAUGUGCUUGUAUGGGUAAUAAACCUACACCAUACAGUAAAUAAAAUAAU